CCUACGGGAGGCAGCAGUGAGGAAUAUUGGUCAAUGGACGAGAGUCUGAACCAGCCAAGUAGCGUGAAGGAUGACUGCCCUAUGGGUUGUAAACUUCUUUUAUAUGGGAAUAAAACAGGGUAUGCAUACUCUUUUGUAUGUACCAUAUGAAUAAGGAUCGGCUAACUCCGUGCCAGCAGCCGCGGUAAUACGGAGGAUCCGAGCGUUAUCCGGAUUUAUUGGGUUUAAAGGGAGCGUAGGUGGAUUGUUAAGUCAGUUGUGAAAGUUUGCGGCUCAACCGUAAAAUUGCAGUUGAAACUGGCAGUCUUGAGUACAGUAGAGGUGGGCGGAAUUCGUGGUGUAGCGGUGAAAUGCUUAGAUAUCACGAAGAACUCCGAUUGCGAAGGCAGCUCACUGGACUGCAACUGACACUGAUGCUCGAAAGUGUGGGUAUCAAACAGGAUUAGAUACCCUAGUAGUC
RNAcentral lists this ribosomal RNA (460 nucleotides) under uncultured bacterium. RNAcentral describes it as "partial 16S ribosomal RNA". It matches the Rfam family "Bacterial small subunit ribosomal RNA", at positions 338 to 795 of the family's 1533-position model. The record is from RNAcentral.